AUUGAACGCUGGCGGCAUGCCUAACACAUGCAAGUCGAACGGUAACAGGUUAAGCUGACGUGUGGCGAACGGGGGAGUAAUGUAUCGGAACUUGCCCAGUCGCGGGGGAUAACUGCUCGCAUGAGCAGCUAAUACCGCAUACGACCUGCGGGCGAAAGCGGGGGGUCGCAAGUCCUCGCGCGAUUGGAGCUGCCGUUAUCCGAUUAGGUAGUUGGUGAGGUAAAGGCUCACCAAGGCGACGAUCUGUAGCUGGUCUGAGAGGACGACCAGCCACACUGGAACUGAGACACGGCCCAGACUCCUACGGGAGGCAGCAGUGGGGAAUUUUGGACAAUGGGCGCAAGCCUGAUCCAGCCAUGCCGCGUGCGGGAAGAAGGCCUUCGGGUUGUAAACCGCUUUUGUCAGGGAAGAAAAGGUUCUGGCUAAUACCUGGGACUCAUGACGGUACCUGAAGAAUAAGCACCGGCUAACUACGUG
RNAcentral lists this ribosomal RNA (477 nucleotides) under uncultured bacterium. Its description in RNAcentral is "partial 16S ribosomal RNA". It matches the Rfam family "Bacterial small subunit ribosomal RNA", at positions 30 to 507 of the family's 1533-position model. The record is from RNAcentral.